RNAcentral lists this ribosomal RNA (440 nucleotides) under uncultured bacterium. RNAcentral describes it as "partial 16S ribosomal RNA". It matches the Rfam family "Bacterial small subunit ribosomal RNA", at positions 338 to 795 of the family's 1533-position model. The record is from RNAcentral.
CCUACGGGAGGCAGCAGUGGGGAAUCUUGCACAAUGGGGGAAACCCUGAUGCAGCGACGCCGCGUGAAGGAAGAAGUAUUUCGGUAUGUAAACUUCUAUCAUCAGGGAAGAAAAUGACGGUACCUCACUAAGAAGCCCCGGAUAACUACGGGCCAGCAGCCGCGGGAAUACGUAGGGGGCAAGCGUGAUCCGGAUUUACUGGGUGUAAAGGGAGCGUAGACGGAAGAGGAAGUCUGAUGUGAAAGGCUGGGGUUUAACCCCAGGACGGAAUUGGAAACUGUGUGUCUAGAGUGCCGGAGAGGUAAGCGGAAUUCCUAGUGUAGCGGUGAAAUGCGUAGAUAUAAGGAGGAACACCAGUGGCGAAGGCGGCUUACUGGACGGUAACUGACGUUGAGGCUCGAAAGCGUGGGGAGCAAACAGGAUUAGAUACCCGAGUAGUC